RNAcentral lists this ribosomal RNA (623 nucleotides) under Salmonella enterica subsp. enterica serovar Takoradi. RNAcentral describes it as "partial 23S ribosomal RNA". It matches the Rfam family "Bacterial large subunit ribosomal RNA", at positions 675 to 1227 of the family's 2925-position model. The record is from RNAcentral. Lineage: Bacteria; Pseudomonadati; Pseudomonadota; Gammaproteobacteria; Enterobacterales; Enterobacteriaceae.
AACCGAGUCUUAACCGGGCGUUAAGUUGCAGGGUAUAGACCCGAAACCCGGUGAUCUAGCCAUGGGCAGGUUGAAGGUUGGGUAACACUAACUGGAGGACCGAACCGACUAAUGUUGAAAAAUUAGCGGAUGACCUGUGGCUGGGGGUGAAAGGCCAAUCAAACCGGGAGAUAGCUGGUUCUCCCCGAAAGCUAUUUAGGUAGCGCCUCGUGAACUCAUCUCCGGGGGUAGAGCACUGUUUCGGCUAGGGGGCCAUCCCGGCUUACCAACCCGAUGCAAACUGCGAAUACCGGAGAAUGUUAUCACGGGAGACACACGGCGGGUGCUAACGUCCGUCGUGAAGAGGGAAACAACCCAGACCGCCAGCUAAGGUCCCAAAGUCAUGGUUAAGUGGGAAACGAUGUGGGAAGGCCCAGACAGCCAGGAUGUUGGCUUAGAAGCAGCCAUCAUUUAAAGAAAGCGUAAUAGCUCACUGGUCGAGUCGGCCUGCGCGGAAGAUGUAACGGGGCUAAAUCAUGCACCGAAGCUGCGGCAGCGAACGUAUCACCCAAGACAACUUUGCGGAGUUGACGAUUGACGGAGCGAAGCGACGUCAAUGCGUUUUACAAAGUCGAGUUGGCUUA